ACGGAGACUGCAAGCGUUAUUCGGAUUCACUGGGCGUAAAGGGUGCGCAGGCGGUUGUGUGUGUCAGGUGUGAAAUCUCGGAGCUCAACUCCGAAACUGCGCCUGAAACUACACGACUAGAGUAUCGGAGAGGUGAGCGGAAUUCAUGGUGUAGCAGUGAAAUGCGUAGAUAUCAUGAGGAACACCAGAGGCGAAGGCGGCUCACUGGACGAUUACUGACGCUCAGGCACGAAAGCAUGGGUAGCGAAAGGG
RNAcentral lists this ribosomal RNA (252 nucleotides) under uncultured bacterium. RNAcentral describes it as "partial 16S ribosomal RNA". It matches the Rfam family "Bacterial small subunit ribosomal RNA", at positions 525 to 776 of the family's 1533-position model. The record is from RNAcentral.